RNAcentral lists this ribosomal RNA (497 nucleotides) under uncultured bacterium. RNAcentral's name for it is "partial 16S ribosomal RNA". It matches the Rfam family "Bacterial small subunit ribosomal RNA", at positions 28 to 507 of the family's 1533-position model. The record is from RNAcentral.
GAUGAACGCUGGCGGCGUGCCUAAUACAUGCAAGUCGAGCGAACAGACAGCGAGCUUGCUCCUUUGACGUUAACGGCUGACGGGUGAGUAAGCCGUCGAGAACCUACCUAUUAGACUUGGAUAACUUCGGAAAGCCAGAGCCAAUACCAGAUAAUAUAAUUAACCGAAGAGAUCAAUAGAGAAAAACGGAUUUGCGGUAACGUUAAGGUGGUACCACGCCGCAUUGCCUAGUUGGUAAGGUAACGGCUUACCAAGGCAACGAAGCGUAUCCGACCUGAGAGGGUGAUCGGCCAAACUGGAACUGAGACACGGUCCAGACUCCUACGGGAGGCAGCAGUAGGGAAUCUUCCGCAAUGGGCGAAAGCCUGAUGCAGCAACACCGCGUGAGUGAUGAAGGUCUUCCGAUCGUAAAACUCUGUUGUUAGGGAAGAACAAAAGUGUAAUUAUAUCUGAACGUAUUGACGGUACCUAAUCAGAAAGCCCCGGCUAACUACGUG